RNAcentral lists this unclassified non-coding RNA (262 nucleotides) under Hevea brasiliensis (rubber tree). Lineage: Eukaryota; Viridiplantae; Streptophyta; Magnoliopsida; Malpighiales; Euphorbiaceae. The record is from RNAcentral.
GUUUCUUCCUUCCGGUCCCGAGACGAUUUCCUGCCGAAGACGUCGAUGGCCCGCGCUUGGGCCAGGUUGAAGCCGCGAUGCUUCAACGAUUGAAAACCUUUCCACCGCAACACGCGAGGCCCCGCAGAUACAAAAUUGCCGCAAGCGGCAACUCCUCACCCGGCAGCACCUUUGAAGCCCCGCUUUGCUUCUCAGGUUUCCUGCUCCGCGCCUCAUGUUUGUUCGAUCAACGAACAUAUGUGCGAUAUUUGUUAGACUGUCG